GAUGAAGAACUUAGCGAAAUGCGAUAAGUAAUGUGAAUUGCAGAAUUCAGUGAAUCAUCGAAUCUUUGAACGCACAUUGCGCCCGCCAGCACUCUGGCGGGCAUGCCUGUCCGAGCGUCAUUUCAACCCUCAGGGCCCCUUCGGGGGACCUGGCGUUGGGGAUCGGCCCGCCCCCGUGCGGCGCCGUCCCCGAAAUACAGAGGCGGUCUCGCUGCAGCCUCCCCUGCGUAGUAGCACACCUCGCACUGGAGAGCGGCGCGGCCACGCCGUGAAACCCCCAACUUCUGAAAGUUGACCUCGGAUCAGGUAGGAAUACCCGCUGAACUUAAGCAUAUCAAUAAGCGGAGGA
RNAcentral lists this unclassified non-coding RNA (349 nucleotides) under soil metagenome. RNAcentral describes it as "partial contains 5.8S ribosomal RNA, internal transcribed spacer 2, and large subunit ribosomal RNA". The stretch from base 1 to 120 matches the Rfam family "5.8S ribosomal RNA", at positions 35 to 154 of the family's 154-position model. The record is from RNAcentral.